This 440-nucleotide ribosomal RNA is filed under the name uncultured bacterium. RNAcentral's name for it is "partial 16S ribosomal RNA". It matches the Rfam family "Bacterial small subunit ribosomal RNA", at positions 338 to 795 of the family's 1533-position model. The record is from RNAcentral.
ACUACGGGAGGCAGCAGUGGGGGAUAUUGCACAAUGGGGGAAACCCUGAUGCAGCGACGCCGCGUGUGGGAAGACGGUCCUCUGGAUUGUAAACCACUGUUCCCAGGGACGAAGAUGACGGUACCUGGGGAGGAAGCUCCGGCUAACUACGUGCCAGCAGCCGCGGUAAUACGUAGGGAGCGAGCGUUGUCCGGAAUUACUGGGUGUAAAGGGAGCGUAGGCGGGACUGCAAGUUGGGUGUCAAAUCUACCGGCUCAACCGGUAGCCGCACUCAAAACUGCAGUUCUUGAGUGAAGUAGAGGCAGGCGGAAUUCCUAGUGUAGCGGUGAAAUGCGUAGAUAUUAGGAGGAACACCAGUGGCGAAGGCGGCCUGCUGGGCUUUUACUGACGCUGAGGCUCGAAAGUGUGGGGAGCAAACAGGAUUAGAUACCCCGGUAGUC